UAAGCGACUAAGCGUACACGGUGGAUGCCUAGGCAGUCAGAGGCGAUGAAGGGCGUGCUAAUCUGCGAAAAGCGUCGGUAAGCUGAUAUGAAGCGUUAUAACCGACGAUACCCGAAUGGGGAAACCCAGUGCAAUACGUUGCACUAUCGUUAGAUGAAUACAUAGUCUAACGAGGCGAACCGGGGGAACUGAAACAUCUAAGUACCCCGAGGAAAAGAAAUCAACCGAGAUUCCCCCAGUAGCGGCGAGCGAACGGGGAGGAGCCCAGAGUCUGAAUCAGUUUGUGUGUUAGUGGAAGCGUCUGGAAAGUCGCACGGUACAGGGUGAUAGUCCCGUACACCAAAAUGCACAGGCUGUGAACUCGAUGAGUAGGGCGGGACACGUGACAUCCUGUCUGAAUAUGGGGGGACCAUCCUCCAAGGCUAAAUACUCCUGACUGACCGAUAGUGAACCAGUACCGUGAGGGAAAGGCGAAAAGAACCCCGGCGAGGGGAGUGAAAUAGAACCUGAAACCGUGUACGUACAAGCAGUGGGAGCACCUUCGUGGUGUGACUGCGUACCUUUUGUAUAAUGGGUCAGCGACUUAUAUUUUGUAGCAAGGUUAACCGAAUAGGGGAGCCGUAGGGAAACCGAGUCUUAACUGGGCGUCUAGUUGCAAGGUAUAGACCCGAAACCCGGUGAUCUAGCCAUGGGCAGGUUGAAGGUUGGGUAACACUAACUGGAGGACCGAACCGACUAAUGUUGAAAAAUUAGCGGAUGACUUGUGGCUGGGGGUGAAAGGCCAAUCAAACCGGGAGAUAGCUGGUUCUCCCCGAAAGCUAUUUAGGUAGCGCCUCGUGAACUCAUCUUCGGGGGUAGAGCACUGUUUCGGCUAGGGGGCCAUCCCGGCUUACCAAACCGAUGCAAACUCCGAAUACCGAAGAAUGUUAUCACGGGAGACACACGGCGGGUGCUAACGUCCGUCGUGAAGAGGGAAACAACCCAGACCGCCAGCUAAGGUCCCAAAGUCAUGGUUAAGUGGGAAACGAUGUGGGAAGGCACAGACAGCCAGGAUGUUGGCUUAGAAGCAGCCAUCAUUUAAAGAAAGCGUAAUAGCUCACUGGUCGAGUCGGCCUGCGCGGAAGAUGUAACGGGGCUAAACCAUGCACCGAAGCUGCGGCAGCGACACUUAGGUGUUGUUGGGUAGGGGAGCGUUCUGUAAGCCGUUGAAGGUGACCUGUGAGGGUUGCUGGAGGUAUCAGAAGUGCGAAUGCUGACAUAAGUAACGAUAAUGCGGGUGAAAAACCCGCACGCCGGAAGACCAAGGGUUCCUGUCCAACGUUAAUCGGGGCAGGGUGAGUCGACCCCUAAGGCGAGGCUGAAAAGCGUAGUCGAUGGGAAACAGGUUAAUAUUCCUGUACUUGGUGUUACUGCGAAGGGGGGACGAGGAAGGCUAGGCUGGCCGGGCGACGGUUGUCCCGGUUUAAGCGUGUAGGGGGAUGACCAGGUAAAUCCGGUUGCUUAUCAACCCUGAGGCGUGAUGACGAUGCACCACGGUGCAGAAGCAGUUGAUGCCAUGCUUCCAGGAAAAGCCUCUAAGCAUCAGGUAACAUUAAAUCGUACCCCAAACCGACACAGGUGGUCAGGUAGAGAAUACUCAGGCGCUUGAGAGAACUCGGGUGAAGGAACUAGGCAAAAUGGUGCCGUAACUUCGGGAGAAGGCACGCUGGCGUUAGGUGAAAGGACUAGCUCCUGGAGCUGAAGCCAGUCGCAGAUACCAGCUGGCUGCAACUGUUUAAUAAAAACACAGCACUGUGCAAACACGAAAGUGGACGUAUACAGUGUGACGCCUGCCCGGUGCUGGAAGGUUAAUUGAUGGGGUCAGCCGCAAGGCGAAGCUCUUGAUCGAAGCCCCAGUAAACGGCGGCCGUAACUAUAACGGUCCUAAGGUAGCGAAAUUCCUUGUCGGGUAAGUUCCGACCUGCACGAAUGGCGUAAUGAUGGCCAGGCUGUCUCCACCCGAGACUCAGUGAAAUUGAACUCGCUGUGAAGAUGCAGUGUACCCGCGGCAAGACGGAAAGACCCCGUGAACCUUUACUAUAGCUUGACACUGAACAUUGAGCCUUGAUGUGUAGGAUAGGUGGGAGGCCUUGAAGUGUGGACGCCAGUCUGCAUGGAGCCAACCUUGAAAUACCACCCUUUAAUGUUUGAUGUUCUAACUCGGCCCCAUGAUCUGGGGUGAGGACAGUGUCUGGUGGGUAGUUUGACUGGGGCGGUCUCCUCCCAAAGAGUAACGGAGGAGCACGAAGGUUAGCUAAUCACGGUCGGACAUCGUGAGGUUAGUGCAAAGGCAUAAGCUAGCUUGACUGCGAGAGUGACGGCUCGAGCAGGUACGAAAGUAGGUCUUAGUGAUCCGGUGGUUCUGAAUGGAAGGGCCAUCGCUCAACGGAUAAAAGGUACUCCGGGGAUAACAGGCUGAUACCGCCCAAGAGUUCAUAUCGACGGCGGUGUUUGGCACCUCGAUGUCGGCUCAUCACAUCCUGGGGCUGAAGUAGGUCCCAAGGGUAUGGCUGUUCGCCAUUUAAAGUGGUACGCGAGCUGGGUUUAGAACGUCGUGAGACAGUUCGGUCCCUAUCUGCCGUGGGCGUUGGAAGAUUGAGAGGGGCUGCUCCUAGUACGAGAGGACCGGAGUGGACGAAUCACUGGUGUUCGGGUUGUCAUGCCAAUGGCAUUGCCCGGUAGCUAAAUUCGGAAGAGAUAACCGCUGAAAGCAUCUAAGCGGGAAACUUGCCUCGAGAUGAGUCUUCCCUGGGGCUUAAAGCCCCCUGAAGGAACGUUAAAGACUAUGACGUUGAUAGGCUGGGUGUGUAAGUGCAGCGAUGUAUUGAGCUAACCAGUACUAAUGAUCCGUGAGGCUUAACCU
Molecule: ribosomal RNA, 2902 nt
Filed under: Yersinia pestis 1522
Lineage: Bacteria; Pseudomonadati; Pseudomonadota; Gammaproteobacteria; Enterobacterales; Yersiniaceae
Description: bacterial LSU rRNA
Rfam family: Bacterial large subunit ribosomal RNA
Source: RNAcentral